Molecule: transfer RNA, 73 nt
Filed under: Ictidomys tridecemlineatus (thirteen-lined ground squirrel)
Lineage: Eukaryota; Metazoa; Chordata; Mammalia; Rodentia; Sciuridae
Description: Spermophilus tridecemlineatus (thirteen-lined ground squirrel) tRNA
Rfam family: tRNA
About the family: Transfer RNA (tRNA) molecules are approximately 80 nucleotides in length. Their secondary structure includes four short double-helical elements and three loops (D, anti-codon, and T loops). Further hydrogen bonds mediate the characteristic L-shaped molecular structure. tRNAs have two regions of fundamental functional importance: the anti-codon, which is responsible for specific mRNA codon recognition, and the 3' end, to which the tRNAs corresponding amino acid is attached (by aminoacyl-tRNA synthetases). tRNAs cope with the degeneracy of the genetic code in two manners: having more than one tRNA (with a specific anti-codon) for a particular amino acid; and 'wobble' base-pairing, i.e. permitting non-standard base-pairing at the 3rd anti-codon position.
Source: Rfam by way of RNAcentral
GAUGGUGGAGCUCAGUGAUAGAGUACUUGCCUGGCAAGUGCAAGGCCCUAGGUUCAAGUCCCUAGUACUACCA